CCAGCGAGUAAUGUCGGGAACUCCAGGGAGACUGCCGGUGAUAAACCGGAGGAAGGUGGGGACGACGUCAAGUCAUCAUGGCCCUUACGAGUAGGGCUACACACGUGCUACAAUGGCGCAUACAGAGGGCGGCCAACUUGCGAAAGUGAGCGAAUCCCAAAAAGUGCGUCGUAGUCCGGAUUGGAGUCUGCAACUCGACUCCAUGAAGUCGGAAU
This 215-nucleotide ribosomal RNA is filed under the name Vibrio parahaemolyticus. RNAcentral's name for it is "partial 16S ribosomal RNA". It matches the Rfam family "Bacterial small subunit ribosomal RNA", at positions 1118 to 1332 of the family's 1533-position model. Lineage: Bacteria; Pseudomonadati; Pseudomonadota; Gammaproteobacteria; Vibrionales; Vibrionaceae. The record is from RNAcentral.